GGAGGCGUCGCAUAGUGGUCUAGUGCGUUCGCUUGGAAAGCGAAUAAGCCGUAACAGGCUUCAGAGGUUCGAAUCCUCUCGCCUCCG
Molecule: transfer RNA, 87 nt
Filed under: bacterium
Lineage: Bacteria
Description: tRNA-Ser
Rfam family: tRNA
About the family: Transfer RNA (tRNA) molecules are approximately 80 nucleotides in length. Their secondary structure includes four short double-helical elements and three loops (D, anti-codon, and T loops).
Source: RNAcentral